GAUGAAGAACGUAGCGAAAUGCGAUACGUAAUGUGAAUUGCAGAAUUCAGUGAAUCAUCGAAUCUUUGAACGCAUAUUACGCUCUCUGGUAUUCCGGAGAGCAUGCUUGUUUGAGUAUCAGUAAACACCUCAACUUCCAUAUCUUUUUUGAAAUGGGAGUUGGACUUGAGUGAUCCCAACGCUUUUCCUCACCGAAAAGUGGCGGGUUACUUGAAAUGCAGGUGCAGCUGGACUUUUCUCUGAGCUAUAAGCAUAUCUAUUUAGUCUGCCUAAAAAACAGAUUAUUACCUUUGCUGCAGCUAACAUAAAGGAGAUUAGUUCUUGUGCUGACUGAUGCAGGAUUCACAAAGACAGGCUUCGGCCGACUUUGUAAACUCGAUCUCAAAUCAAGUAAGACUACCCGCUGAACUUAAGCAUAUCAAUAAGCGGAGGA
This 433-nucleotide unclassified non-coding RNA is filed under the name soil metagenome. RNAcentral describes it as "partial contains 5.8S ribosomal RNA, internal transcribed spacer 2, and large subunit ribosomal RNA". The stretch from base 1 to 120 matches the Rfam family "5.8S ribosomal RNA", at positions 35 to 154 of the family's 154-position model. The record is from RNAcentral.